This is a microRNA precursor of Oryza sativa Indica Group (long-grained rice), 205 nucleotides long. It matches the Rfam family "MIR812 microRNA precursor family". NCBI's taxonomy places the organism in Eukaryota, Viridiplantae, Streptophyta, Magnoliopsida, Poales, Poaceae. The record is from Rfam.
UUGCAGUGUGGGUUAUGGGUCCAGUGUCUAACGAUUGACCGUUCGUCUUAUUGAAAUUUUUUUUAUGAUUUCUAUUUUUUAUUGUUUUUAGAUGAUAAAAUAUGAAUACUACUUUAUGUGACUUAAUUUUUAAUUUUUUUCAUAAACUUUUUAAAUAAGACGGACAGACAAAUGUUAGGCACAGAAACUUAUGGUUGCACUUGAA